UAUGGGACACCAAAAUCGUCUGCUACAAGA
RNAcentral lists this non-coding RNA (30 nucleotides) under Homo sapiens (human). Lineage: Eukaryota; Metazoa; Chordata; Mammalia; Primates; Hominidae. The record is from RNAcentral.